Molecule: ribosomal RNA, 774 nt
Filed under: uncultured Neocallimastigales
Lineage: Eukaryota; Fungi; Neocallimastigomycota; Neocallimastigomycetes; Neocallimastigales
Description: partial large subunit ribosomal RNA
Rfam family: Eukaryotic large subunit ribosomal RNA
Source: RNAcentral
UACGACUACAUAUCAGGUAUAUCAAUAAGCGGAGGAAAAGAAACUAACAAGGAUUCCCUUAGUAACGGCGAGUGAAGCGGGAAGAGCUCAAAUUUGAAAUCUUCAAGGUUUUACCUUGACGAAUUGUAGUUUAAAGAAGUGUUUUCUGUUGAAGUUUUGGUAAAAGUUCUUUGGAAUAGGACAUCAUAGAGGGUGAGAAUCCCGUAUUUGACCAUUAUUUUCAGCUGUGUGAUACACUUUCAAAGAGUCGGAUUGUUUGGGAAUGCAGUCCAAAAUGGGUGGUAAAUUUCAUCUAAAGCUAAAUAUUGGCGAGAGACCGAUAGCGAACAAGUACCGUGAGGGAAAGAUGAAAAGAACUUUGAAAAGAGAGUUAAACAGUACGUGAAAUUGUCAAAAGGGAAGCGUUUGACACCAGUGUUGUUUUCUCGAAAAUCAAUUAAAAAAAGUUGGAUUUUGUGUUGUAUUGACCUUAACAGCUUGCUUCACUCUUUUCCAGCUUUUUUUAAUGCACUUUUCAGUUAACAAGUCAACAUCAGUUUCUUUUGUUGUAAAAGGGUGAUAGGAAGGUGGCUUUCUCUUCGGCGCAAGUGUUUAUAGCCUUUGAUCUCUGCAAUCGGAGAGAUUGAGGUCUGCAGCGUAGAUCCUUCGGGGUUAGAUACAUUUGUGCUAAGCUACAGCUUUUCAUAGACAACUUGUUGACUAUGUUUAGUCUUGUGACUUACCCGCUUAUGCUAUUUUACCUACGCUUAGGAUGUUGAGCGCAUGUCUCUCUCU